Molecule: ribosomal RNA, 377 nt
Filed under: uncultured bacterium
Lineage: Bacteria
Description: bacterial SSU rRNA
Rfam family: Bacterial small subunit ribosomal RNA
Source: RNAcentral
AUACGUAGGGGGCGAGCGUUGUCCGGAAUUACUGGGCGUAAAGGGCGUCUAGGUGGCCUCUUGCGUGUAAGGUUAAAGGCGUCGGCUCAACCGACGACGUGCCUUGCAAACGGGGAGGCUUGAGAACAGGAGAGGGAUGCGGAAUUCCCGGUGGAGCGGUGAAAUGCGUAGAGAUCAGGAAGAACACCAGAGGCGAAGGCGGCAUCCUGGCCUGGAUCUGACACUGAAGCGCGAAAGCGUGGGGAGCGAACGGGAUUAGAUACCCCGGUAGUCCACGCCGUAAACGAUGGGUACUAGGUGUGGGAGGUAUCGACCCCUUCCGUGCCGGAGCUAACGCACUAAGUACCCCGCCUGGGGAGUACGGCCGCAAGGCUGAA